GACAGGGUCCAGCCUGAACAUGGGUGUCCUGGCUCAGCUCUCCUGCCUGCUGCUGCUCUGGCCUCUAGCCGCCAGCGGUGACAUCACACUGACCCAGACUCCAGCUUUCCUGUCUGUGCCUGUGGGAGGGACGGUGUCCAUCUUUUGCAAAGCCGACCAGAGUGUCAGUGAUUAUGUAACUUGGUAUCAGCAGAAGCCAGGACAUGCUCCUAAGAUUCUCAUUUAUGAUGCCGAUAACCAGUAUCCCGGUGUGCCAGCUCGCUUCACUGGAGUUCAGUCUGGCACAGAAUUCACUCUCAAAAUUAGCGGUGUCCAGGCUGAAGACAAGGGUACUUAUUACUGCCAGCAAGACUAUACAUUCCCUCCCACAGUGGCACAGACCUGA
This is a non-coding RNA of Ochotona princeps (American pika), 385 nucleotides long. The record is from the annotation of a RefSeq genome assembly. Lineage: Eukaryota; Metazoa; Chordata; Mammalia; Lagomorpha; Ochotonidae.